This 300-nucleotide ribosomal RNA is filed under the name uncultured Bacillus sp. RNAcentral's name for it is "bacterial SSU rRNA". It matches the Rfam family "Bacterial small subunit ribosomal RNA", at positions 496 to 795 of the family's 1533-position model. Lineage: Bacteria; Bacillati; Bacillota; Bacilli; Caryophanales; Bacillaceae. The record is from RNAcentral.
GCUAACCCCGGGCAGGAGGCCGUGUUAAGAGGGAGGGGGCAAGCGUUAAGCGGAAGUACGUGGCGGAAAGCGCACGCAGGCGGUCGGUCAAGUCGGAUGUGAAAUCCCCGGGCUCAACCUGGGAACUGCAUUCGAAACUGGCAGGCUAGAGUCUUGUAGAGGGGGGUAGAAUUCCAGGUGUAGCGGUGAAAUGCGUAGAGAUCUGGAGGAAUACCGGUGGCGAAGGCGGCCCCCUGGACAAAGACUGACGCUCAGGUGCGAAAGCGUGGGGAGCAAACAGGAUUAGAUACCCCAGUAGUC